Tympanuchus pallidicinctus (lesser prairie-chicken) is the source of this 7659-nucleotide long non-coding RNA. RefSeq lists it as uncharacterized. NCBI's taxonomy places the organism in Eukaryota, Metazoa, Chordata, Aves, Galliformes, Phasianidae. The record is from RefSeq and is a predicted model, not a curated record. The transcript has 2 exons.
AGCCCGCAGCGCGGCGCCGUGCCCCCCUAGCCCCCGCCCGCCCGCUGCCGACCUGCCCCGUCCCUUCUGCUUCCCUUCCCGGCUCCUCUCCCCGUCCCGUCCCGUUCCUUUUCCUCCCGCCCGGCCCGGCCGGCAGCCCCGCUCACCUGGGCGGAUUUCUUGCAGGGUCCGGACUGCAGGAACCUGGCGAUCAGCAGCUCUGAGGUCACCACCUGGAUCACCCCACGUCCCCCACGCCUUCUCCACGUUGAUGAGGCUGCCAAAACCCAGCAGCAUUCCCAUCUCUCAGGCAGCCACUCAUUAAGGUUGGGACCACCAAGACGGACCGCCAGCCCACCAUGCUGUGUCAGUGCCACACCUCCGUGCUCCUUGGCAUAUCCAGAUUACCACCAAGGACACGCUCAGCAGUGAGGACCCAUCUUUUCCUGGAUACAGUUAAAAUGUCUCAAAAUCCACUUGUGAAACUCCUGUGGUAACAAGGCUCAGCCCAUCCGUGCUGCUCACUUGAUGGGGAAACGCAGUGGUCUGUCACACUCACCUAUAAUAAUGGAUUUUUAUCUGUAGUUAUGGGUUUUUCUCACUCUUAAUUGCAGUGAGUGAAGAACUGAGAUAUUUUCCAUAGCACCUUGUGUGCACAUUACCCUAUGAAUUAUAAAUCUUUCUUUUGAGCCUAGCAGCCGUUCCAACAGCAACUCAAGGUACCACUUCAGCCUCUUCUCUUGAGUGCUGGAGGGAUUCCUCUGCUUGCACCGGUGCUGAGCCACCAGGACUUCCCAGCAGCAAUGGGGCAGGAUGGGGCACCCUGCUGUCCCCACAUCCCAGCACCAAACAUGGCCCUGAGCGGGGGCUGCCUUCCCCCAGCUUUUUGGAAGGGAACAAAAAAAAAAAGAAAAAAAGAAUGGUUAAAGCUGCUGCGUGCUGCCCUUUUCCUUUCCACUUUGGAAGCCUUUUUAACGUGCAGUUUUCCAGCAAUUUGAACGAAAAUUGCCCUGAAAGAAUGAAACAAAAAAAAUCUGCCUUAUUUUUUCCAGCAAACCCCCCUGUGCCACACAAGCAGCUGCAGAGAAUUUCUCUUCCAAACAGAUGAUGUAAUGGGCUUUGUCAGCCAACGCUGUAAUGAAUAAAAACCUAGACCCUGAAAUCAUCCGAGCUUUUGAUGAAGCCCAUUAAGGUUUGUGGUGCGGGCAAUCCCCAAAAGGAUGGAGCAGUGGGUUUUGUCAUGCAGAUGGCAGAGGGAGAGCAGUGGCACCGGGGCUGUGCUGUGGGGGCACCGGGCAGCACGGAGGGAACGGGCAGAAAGUAGAGCUUUUGUUUCCCUUAAAAUAAAUGGGCUGAAGGAAGAUGCUGAUGGGAGAUGUUGAGAGGGGGCAUGGCUUUGCAGGGCAGGAGCACAGCUUCUGCCCCUACUGCUGCCUGCUGAUGCCAGAGUCCAAGGAAUUAAUUUUUCUUAAAAAAAAACCCUCAAGUUAUGAGAAGUGAACCAUAUAAAAGGUGUUAGGUUUCAAUCAGGAAAGGCAGCAGAGUCGCGCUGGCAUGCUUGGAGCAGAAAUAGAUGGGGAUGGAGCCCUCCCUCUGGUCAGCCUGCAGAGGGACCUCCACUGACUGCCAUGGGCCUCACCUUCCAUAUUUGCUUGGAUUUCUGCUGUUUCUUUCCCUUUGGGCUCAUGCAUUUCAGCAAGAUGCACAAAGUGAAGCAGGGCACCUACUUGCUCCCCUCACAACAGCAUUGGCACUGCCACUGUCCCUGUCCCUUGGGCAGAAGGACACCUGCAUGCGAGUUCUGCUCCAUCCUUCUGGGCUCCCGUGCUGCCCAAAAUGCAACCCAGGGUCACUGAUGGUGAGGAGAGACGAGCCCCAAGGCUCCGUGCUGGAGGCUGGAGCCAGGCUGAGCAGUGCUGGAACAUGGCUGGGAUGCGUCCCUUAACUCUGUGGAGCAGCCACCGCGGUGUCGUGGCACCAAAUGCACAGCAGGACCGGGCAGCAGGGACCUGGGGACAACUCAGGGCCCCCAGCACUCCGUGCCCCCGGAUUUGGGGAUCCAUUUGGGCAAUGAGCUCCUCAGCUUAAUUACGCGCUGCGGGAAAUGUGGCCGAUCUGCAUCUGCCACUCGGUAAUUCCGUGGGGCACCGCUUUGUCUGCUUUGUCUUCCAACACAAGAGCCACCGACCCCUAUUCACUUCCCGUGCCACCGCAUCACUCUCUCCACCUCCCUCCUCCUUGUUCCCCUCUCUGUAAAUUCUUUGCAAGACAAAAAGGGCAAUUUAUUUAAUUGUUGCUGAUACAAUGUGCUAAAACUCUCAACAGUUAAUUACACUUGUUAAUUAUUUUAAUUACUCCCAGGGUAACGGUCCAGGUAUAGAAGAGGACCCCACCGGGCUGCAUGGGCACAGAGCAGAGCAGUCUGUUAUCUCUUAUCCUGAGAUGCUGCAUCUCUGUAGCGCACAGCACAACCGCCCUCUGACAACAUGGGUGGUGAAAUAGGAGCAGGGAACGCUUGGCCUAGAUUUGCAAAUUUCUGUUUGCAGCGUAGAAAGAUUUAUAGGAGGAGGCCUGAGGGGAAGGCAGCUCUCGCAGGGCUUCCCUCAGACUGUGAGUCCAGCCCUCCUCGGUGCUCCUGGUGCAAAACGGAGCAGGGUCCUGACCUGCAAAGGACAAGCGAUCAGCUCCAGCACACAUCAACCCUGGCUGGAAGCUGUGGCUGUGUCCCAGCUGGAGCGCACCCACCUCCACUGCAGCAGCACGUGGAUCCAAGCAGCUCCCUUGUGGUUGUGGAGCUGCAUCCAGUGGGAUCCCCGCAGUGAGGGUGAAGGCAGAGAGCUGCUGCCAUCAGAGCCUUCCCUCCCUGCUGCUGCUUUCAUCUUCCCGAGGGAAAAGCAAACAGAGGGGAACCAGAAAUCUUUGUGGCUACGAAGUCUCACAUCUGGUUUUAGCUCCAAGAAACGUACUCCCACUCCCUCCUUGAACUGUUAAUGUUAAACUAAUAAAACCCCGGUGAUUUUUCUGGAUUUCAGUGCUUGGAUCGCAUACAAGCAGCUUUCACAGUGAAUUCCAGGAUUGCUCUCACCUCCAUCCCUAAGGAAAGCAAUGCACCCCUCUUGGCAGGGAAGAAGAUGCUGCCAAAUGGCAGAACUCCAUGGCUCCUGCACUGCAGGACGAGCAGCAGCCCAGGGCUGCGGGGUGGGCAGUGCCUGGCCGUGUGCAGGGCGCACUCUGCUCCCCCCAGCUCCGAGUCCUCACCCUGGCAGCGACCCCUGGAGCAGCACAGUCCUUGAGUCCAGUGAGACAAACCUGGUUUAAAUCUGGCCCUCCCAUUCUAUUUGUAGGCUUCAAUACCGCAUUUUUAUCUGCACUGUUCCCCCCCUCCCCCUCCCCGUGCCCUUUUUUUAAGAACGUCUGGAAAUGUUUAAGAUGUGUCCAACUAUAUUAAAAUGCCUUUGAGAGCUUUGCGAUGUCAAUUUGAUUUCCGCUCUUUUAGAGGCAGCGCUUUCCAAUUUGUGAUGUUGUUCAUUUCAUAUCACAUAAGCACCUACUUCAUUUCACUUCUUCCAGGUGUCACCUCUCGGUGACAAUCUUGGGCUCACUGUAACACACGGGGCCAACACUUGAGUGUUCCCAUGUGACACGUUGUGAGCAUCUCCCUCCCGAGCCAGGCAGUGCUUUGUUUCCCAGGACCCUCUGCUGUUUGCAUGGACAGCAAUGACUUCUGAUCCCUUCCUCCAUGCUCUGUAGUGACCGCCUCCCCUCUCCGGGCUCUGGGACGCUCUCUGGCCAGCAGCCACGCUGACAUUGUACUCUCAGAAGGAGAGAGGCUCCUCGAAAGCCGCGGACGCAGCCCGAGGGGUGUUCUUGGCUCACUGGAAGCCAUCCAGCAGGAUCAGGUUUCAGAGCAGAGCUCCUGCGCCAGCUGCAUGGAGGAGGAACAUCACCAUUGGGACAACUGGAAAGAAAAGCCAUCCGUUUCUAUUCAGGGGAUCCAAUUUUCUUUCUGCUUCAUCAGAUUAACACCAGUGUAACUCCAUUAACUACCAGGGAGUUGCUCUUGAUCUGAAAAUCAGACACAUCAGAUUUUCUGGCUUUUGCAUGCGGUUACUUCACUCAAAGGAGCAAAGAUGGACAUAGGAUGUAUCUACAAAAGCCUUUCUUGUAUGUGGUCUGGGGGUAGUUGUUAUUCUCCCCUCCUCAUUUAAAAGAAGAGAUUUCACUCCCUGCUCCUGUUUUUUUCCAAGCAGAAGGAUUUCCACGUUCUGUUUGUGCCUCUUUCCUCGUGUUCCUCCCUCUGUGCUGCCCCAACACACCGCUCACGAUGGACCCAAGGGAGAAGUUCCAAGGUGCCUCCUCUUCCUUCAAACCCUACUUUCCAGGUGCCCAGCAGUUUCUCUAAGCCUUUCAUUGCUCUCACAGAGCACUUUCCCACGUUCUGCUGCGGCUCCUGUAGAACAAGCAUUACAUUGAGGAAUGCGAGGUCUCAGCCCUUUAUCCUACAUUUGAUACACAUGCUGAAGUAAGCUCAGCCCCACGCUGCAUUAGGAGACUGCAUCCUAAAUUUCAUCACAGGGCAUUUGUGCACCGAGUGAAGAGCCUUGCUUUGUCCAAUGAUUGCUACUAAACGAAACCAUUAUGGAGAACCUCCCUAGCAGUAGGAUGGGUCCAAAGCGUGCACACAAUCCCUCCAGUUGGUCCACAAUGGGUUCGUUGUUCCCUGCCAUCUUGCUGGGUGGAAGCACGCUGUGUUUCUGUGCUGACGGUGCAAUGUGACCCAGCACUGCUUCACUGCACCCAGAGCACUGCACUGUGUUCCAGCAGCCCUGGCCCUGGCCAAACACCCAACUCUGCAAUUCCUUGUAGAGCUCCUGCUUACUGGUGCCUGCGGUCCGCUCGUUAAACUGGGUGUAACAUUCAUCAAACUACCUCCACGUACAGAGUCUGGAACUCAUGAUGAGCAGCAGCAUCGCCACCGUUCACCAGGUCUCAGUGCAAAAUGCAAGCCGACAGUUCUACAUGUGCCUUGCUCAAAACAUGCAUCUUACCUCACAUGAAGUCUCCUCCCUUUGCUGAGAGCAUCACUGUGCCACUACAGAACCAUUGCUGUCUUAAGACUCAGGAAGCUGUUUGCCACAUCACACCUUGUCGAGUCUGGAGUUGUUAUCUUCAGUAAUGAUAAUCAAACGCCCAAAUGGAUUUUGCCUGUGUAGCCAUUCUAAGAACCUUUCCUAGUCAGAACUAGAAUAGGAAACACGUUUCUUACGCCCGAGAGCUCUGGCAGUGGAGAGCCAAGGAGCUUGGUGAAGGGUUUCUCCAUGCCUUCCAGCUGAGCCUGGAAUCAGGAACACCCAAACUGACUGCUUGUGAAAGGUUUCAGUUUCCCACUGAAACCUCCACUUUUUGGUCAGCCAUAAACUGGAGUUGCCUUUGCUGCAGUGUCAAGAUGUCAAGAGCACCAGAUGAGGAGGGCUUGGCAGAAGGCAGAAAUCUAUUUCAUUGUGCAACUCACUCAAAUAUCCCAUUGCUCUGAAAAGCUGUGAACUUGAGCAACGAGGUUUGUAUGAAAAGUUCUUAAGCAAUUUUCUGAGUUUAUUUGUAACAGGAAUCUGGUUGUAACAAUAGUUAUAGAAUUAAGAAAACUCUCGCCCUGGCACUGAAAGGGGAACUAAACAAAACCAAACUCUCAAUUGUAUGUCUCUGUGUAACAGCUUCUGAAUUAGAAUGGAGAAAUGUGACCUAACAUACAGAAUGACCUCAAUUAGUGGGUGAUGGGCUGAUUACACUUUGGCACAUGGAUGAGCCUUUUGCUAGGAAGAAAAUACCAACCAUACUCAUACUGUUGGCUACUAUUUAAAUAACCAUGCCCGAAACACUAUGGGAGAAUGAAACUGGGAAGAGAGGGGUGUCACUGAGAUUUGCACAAAGAGCUCACCUUCCUAUUUACACCAGAUGUGCUGUGUUACGCCCCUGCACAGCAACCACUGGAAGCUGGGAGGAGACACUGCAGCUAUAAUAUGCUUUAUUCCAAAAUGCAUUUUAUCCUUAAAGCUGUGCAGGCCCACUGCUAUUUCUCACCAACUUCAAGCAGCAUUUGGUCAGACCCUAAAAACUAUUGCAUCUUGUCUCUGAAACAAACUGCCGUGCUUAUUAGCAAUCCUUCAUUGCCCAAAAGCAAGCUAAAUUCAGUAAUUUUCAUGGGUAAAAGUGUGGGGAUGACAUUUGAAUUGUCACUGGAUCCCUUCAACCUAAAAUACGCAGAAUCUCCUGGUAUCACUAAAUCACCAUGAGAUUUCACACAGCGACAGAUGCAGCCUAUAGAAAAUCCUAGGAGGGAAAAAUACCCCCUGAACUUGUGUAACAGCCCUGCGAGGAAGUUGUAGCUCACAUGUGCUGGCUGCUUUAACAGAGCACAUCUAUGGAAUGAAAGGUGUCACAGCAGAAAUAAAAAUCAUCUGUGCUUUAGGCCUUGGAGGUUAAAAUCACCACUAAACAUCAUUGAGUAGCCAGCACCCCGGGGUGCUGCUCAGGGAACAGCCAUUUCAUACAGGGCACUGCACUGAGACACCGAGUUGGGCUGUGGAUAGGAGAUGAACUGUGCAGCCUCCUGGAAUUUCACAUUUCUGAGCUGCAAAACAAUCUUACACACACAAAAAACAUACUUUCUGCAUUGCAGACAUUUUUCUUCCUAUCAAAUACAUGAUAAAUUUGGUCAUCAAUGUGAAGAGACCAUAAAGAAGGUGGCUUAGAGAGGAAAAUGUGAAGUGUCCUUGAAAAAAAUUGUAUAGCAUAGCUGUAGCAACAGAAAUAAGACUAGGUAAAACACAUUAAACCCCUAUGUAUACUGCCUAGUCUAGCAGUAAUUCCCAGAACAGGCUUGCAUUCAUGGAAACCAUUUUCUGUAUAUACACACAUGAUCAUGCUAAGCAGGAAAGGGGAAGCUAAGCAGGAAAACGCUCCGUAAGUAGGAUAUAUUAGAAGAAGCUAUAAGUAAAAGGUAGGUAAGCACGCACUUUAUCUGGUACUAUGGCCAUUCCAGCAUAACAGAAAACCAUUUUACACUACCAGACGUUUGCUAUCUCCAAGCUCACCUGCUAUUUCUAAGGAAGACCCCUCUUCUAAACCGUUAUCAAUUACCAGGCACUGAAACAUAAAGGAGACAACACCCACCAGAGCUCCUAACACCAGCAGCCCUCAAGGCACGCUGGGCAACACCAAUAUCUCAGCUUCUCUCGAGGAAGCGAGGCUGAGAACGCGAGCUUCCAUGUGGGGAUGCUGGGCGGCGCCUUUCCUCUGGACCAUCUGUUCCCAUCCUGACUGCAUGGGGUCGGUUUUGUUGACACAACGGCGGGAGCCAGGGGCCCAAGCAGCGGCCGUGCUGUGGAUGCCAGGGCCCAGCUGCACAGGUCCGCCAGCACAGCUCCAGCAGCGCGUGUGCAGCACAAGCAACGAACCACAGUCAGUUUUUGAGGAGUCUUUUUUAUUAAGAUAAAUCCAGCAAAAUUCCUAACAGUGGGUACAUACAACCGACCUGCCCUUUCAAAAGAAACGCUUGUAUUUCAUUUAAAAACAUGAUUACACUUUUUUUUCAUUAUUUAUUUAUUUUUCAAAACCGACAAAAUAAAAUUACAUUUGGGAAAACAACAGAUUUCCAGCUCUUAGGUAUUUUUUUUUUUUUUU